RNAcentral lists this ribosomal RNA (247 nucleotides) under uncultured bacterium. Its description in RNAcentral is "partial 16S ribosomal RNA". It matches the Rfam family "Bacterial small subunit ribosomal RNA", at positions 83 to 334 of the family's 1533-position model. The record is from RNAcentral.
CAGGGUACUCGAGUGGCGAACGGGUGAGUAACACGUGGGUGAUCUGCCCUGCACUUCGGGAUAAGCCUGGGAAACUGGGUCUAAUACCGGAUAGGAGCCAUUUUUAGUGUGAUGGUUGGAAAGUUUUUCGGUGUAGGAUGAGCUCGCGGCCUAUCAGCUUGUUGGUGGGGUAAUGGCCUACCAAGGCGGCGACGGGUAGCCGGCCUGAGAGGGUGGACGGCCACAUUGGGACUGAGAUACGGCCCAG